This 1621-nucleotide long non-coding RNA is filed under the name Solanum lycopersicum (tomato). RNAcentral's name for it is "partial TCONS_00021963". Lineage: Eukaryota; Viridiplantae; Streptophyta; Magnoliopsida; Solanales; Solanaceae. The record is from RNAcentral.
GUGCCAUUAACUUUAAGUGAGGGAUUAAUUAGUGGCUAAUUUGGAUUGAUUUAAUCCAAUGGGCCCCACCACUCAAGGCAAAAAUUAAAAAGGGAUCAGAUUGUGGGCUGGCCUUAGUGGACAGGUGUAGAGGGGGGCUGCCUCCACUUCAUACUAUUAAAUGAGGUGGAGAAAUCCACUCCAUGCUAUAUAUAGUGGUGAAAUGCAUUGCUGCAUAUCAUCUUCUUCUUCACCACUUGUCUUAGGCAGCCAUGGAAAUGGAGAAACCAACCCUGCAACUCUUGGCCAGCAGCUGCAAAUAAUUUGAUUAAUAGCUUGAGCAGUAAAUAUUGGACGUGCGGCUCAAUUAUACGGUAUGUAACGCUGUCCCUUCUUUCUUUGCUUGGCAUGACUUUUAAAAUAAGCGAAUAACGGACAGAUUUGAUACUUACCUCUAAAGCGUCUAGGUGAUGUAUAUUCUUGCUUCCACAAUUAUUCCUCUAUAUAUCGGUUAUGUCUAAGGCUAUGAUGAUCUCUAAUAUCUAUGGUAAUGCUUCUUAGAGUCAUUGAAAUUUUACGUUUUCAUAUCAUAUUAAAGGUUCAUAAUCUUGAUAAAACAUUAAUCUUUGGUAAUACUCCUUGCUGGUUCACGUUGAUUGUUCUAUUGAGUUAUAAGAAAUGAUUUUAAUUGCAUAUGGUUGCUCAUAAUAUUCUGCUCGUGCAUAGAGUCAUUUAUCAUUUCACCGAGUCCCGGGCCGGGUAAUGUUCGUGCGGAGUUUCUUGCAUAUGUCACCGAGUUCCUCACUAGAGGGCCGGGUAUUUAUAUUAUAUAUAUGAUGGGUGAUGAGGAUGGUUAUGAUGAUGAUGAUGACGGAGAUGACGUGAUGAUUAUUUUGCCGAGCCCCUUACUAGGGAAGCUGGGCACCUUAAAUGUUAAAUAUAUGCAUGAUUUUCACUUAAAAAGUAUAUGUGUAGCGAUAUUUUGUUUCGACUUGCCACAUUGGUAUCCUGUCAUCUUUACCUUAUGCUUUACAUACUCAGUACAUUGUCCGUACUGGCCCCCCUUUCCUCGGGGGGCUGCGUUUCAUGCCCGCAGGUGUAGACGCGCAGUUCGGUGAUCCUCCCGCCUAGGAUAUCUACUCUGCUGAUUGGGAGAGCUCCACUGUUCCGGAGCCCAGUCGGUUUGGUACAUAACUUUUGUGUAGUCUUUUGCUCGUCUAUGGGUAUGGCGGGGCCCUGUCCCGUCGAGUUUCACUAAUGUACUCUUAGAGGUCUGUGGACAUUAUGUGGGUUGUAUAUAUAUGUUUUGGAUAAUGGUCUGGACAUGGUUUGUUUGGGAUGUCCGCCUUGUCGGCUGCGUACAUCAUUAUGCUUUGAAUAGUGGCGGCCUUGUCGGCUCGCGUAUGCUGUUAUGGUUGAAUGGUUAUGACUCCUUAUGAGACAGGUCCUCUUUAUAUAUAUAUGACGUUGGGGUUGGCUUGAUUUGAUUAAAUUCCAUAUUGUCUUAGUUUUAGUUGGUUAUACUUAGCAGGUUUGUAUGUGGGUGUCCAAAACGGGCACUAGUCACGGCCCAUCGGGUUGGGCCGUGACACUAUAAUAAGAAUUAGACAAUAUAAGCAACUCACCAAUUGACCAAGCCAUC